Molecule: long non-coding RNA, 1832 nt
Filed under: Monodelphis domestica (gray short-tailed opossum)
Lineage: Eukaryota; Metazoa; Chordata; Mammalia; Didelphimorphia; Didelphidae
Description: lncRNA (ENSMODG00000038249.1)
Source: RNAcentral
GGUCCCAGGCGGGCGGGGGAGGAGGGGAAGCGGCCCAGACUCUGGACUCUCGGAGUUCUCCAUUUUCCCCGCCUCCUUCUCCCCUUCUAUUCCCUUCACUUUCCCCCCUCAACGCCGCCGUUACUCCGUCACAUCAAUGAAAUUCGCCUCCUCCGCCCUCCACCUUCCAACCAUUUUCUUCUUUCUUUUCUUCUUUUCUCUCUUUCCCUCUCCUCUUUUCCUCUCUCUUCCUCCCUUUAUCUCUCUGCCUCUCUGUCUUUGUCUCUCUCUCUUGCCUACCACCUAUUUCUCCCCUCUCCUUUUUUCUUUUCUUUUCUUUCUCUCUCUUUCUCCCUCCCUCCCCUAUCUCUGUUUCUAUCUCCCAUCACCUAUUUCUUCCCUCUCCUUUUCUUUUUACUUUUCUCUUUCUUUCUCCUUCUCUUCCCCUAUCUCUGUCUCUAUCUCUCUCCCAUAAUCUACAUAUUCUUUUUCCUUUUCUGCUUUUCCCUUUUCCUCUCUCUCCCUUUCUCCCUCCCCAUCUCUCUCUUUCUCACCACUUAUUUCUCCCCUCUCUUUUUCUAUUUCUUCCUUUCUCUCUCCCUCCUUCCUCCUCUCUCUGCCUCUCCCUUUCCCUCCCUCCCUCUCCCUUCCUCCUUCUUUCUUAUCUCCCUCCUUUCUCUCUCUUUCCAUCUCUAUUACUCCCUCAUCAACAAAAUGACAAUAAUUUAAAUACAUCUAACAGCUCACAUUUCUAUAGUGCUUUACAAAGCAACUUUCCUUCUAAUAGCUCUGCAAGGUCAAGAAUACAAAUUCUAUUUCCCCCAUUUUACAGGUGAAAUUUAUGCUCUUUGAUUCCCAAUUCAGUGUUCUCCCCACUUCCCUUUGCUGUCUCUCCCCUUCCUCUAGGAUCACCUGAAUGAUUGUUGUUCCUUGUAAUCAGUUCUGUUAAUUUUCAGGCUGAGCUCUUUGCCCUUACCUUUCUUUUAGUCCUAACAGGAACCUAUUUUUCUUUCUUUCUAGACUACAGGCACAUCCUCUUCUUGAGACCUUGGGAAUGUUCUUUCCUCUCUCUGGGCUUCAGUUUCCUCCUCAGAAAAACAUGGAGGUGGUAGACUACAAUCUUUGUUCUAAGGCAUAUUUCUUUUCAGAAUCUUUGGAUCCUUAUGACCCUCGAUGUCCAUCCUCUGUCUCCAGACCUUGUUCUCAGGUCUAGCUAGUUCAGCCCAUUCUGCUUGGAAUCAACAUAUUCUUGGAACAACUUGGCACUAACAGCUUGGAUUCCGUUAGGGCUUUUGACAGCAAAUUGCUUUACAAUGAAGAUCUCAGGAGACCUCAUCUGAGCUCUGGGAGGAGAGACAAAGGGAACAUUAUUAUGCCCAUCAUACAGAUGAGGAAACUGAACAAAUGCAUGAGCAAUAUAUUUUUGGCAUUUUUUUGUAUGCAAAUACCCAUAUUUAUGUGUAUGUAUAUAUGGAAGCACACACACACUCAAGGAUAUUAUAUGAUCAUAGAUUGUUAGAGACUGACUAGAUAUUAAAGAGAAUUCAAUCUAAUCUCCUCAUUGUACAGAAUUGGUGGUGGGGGACAGCAAAAUGGGCCAUGGAUAGAAAUUUAAAUCCUACCUCAGAUAUUUGCUAGCUGUGUGACUCUGGGCAAGUCACUUAAUCUCUGUCUGCCUCACUUUCCCUUACUUAUAAAAUGGAGAGAAUAAUAGUACCCACCAAAGGACCAACAUGAUGAUUACAAAAAAAUCCUGGAAAGAAAUAUGGAGGGAUGCAAAGUGAAAGAACCAGGAGAACAUUGUACACAUUAACUGCAAUAAAGUAUGAUAAUCAACUGGGAAUGGCUUAAUU